GCGGGAGUGGCGAAAAUAGGUAGACGCGUCAGAAUUAGGAUCUGAUACUGAUAAAGUGUACGAGUUCAAAUCUCGUCUCCCGUA
This 84-nucleotide transfer RNA is filed under the name Candidatus Blochmannia vicinus (nom. nud.). RNAcentral describes it as "Candidatus Blochmannia vicinus tRNA-Leu". It matches the Rfam family "tRNA". Rfam says of the family: Transfer RNA (tRNA) molecules are approximately 80 nucleotides in length. Their secondary structure includes four short double-helical elements and three loops (D, anti-codon, and T loops). The record is from RNAcentral. Lineage: Bacteria; Pseudomonadati; Pseudomonadota; Gammaproteobacteria; Enterobacterales; Enterobacteriaceae.